Podarcis lilfordi (Lilford's wall lizard) is the source of this 86-nucleotide non-coding RNA. The record is from the annotation of a GenBank genome assembly. NCBI's taxonomy places the organism in Eukaryota, Metazoa, Chordata, Lepidosauria, Squamata, Lacertidae.
CUGUACUGUGUUUUUUAAGAAAGCACUCCUAUAAAAUACAGUUUAUACUAUUUUAUAGGAGUGCUUUCUUAAAAAACACAGUACAG